UACAGAGGGUGCGAGCGUUAAUCGGAUUUACUGGGCGUAAAGGGCGCGUAGGCGGUCGUAUGAGUGUGAUGUGAAAGCCCCGGGCUCAACCUGGGAAGUGCAUCGCAAACGAUACGACUGGAGUACAUGAGAGGGUGGCGGAAUUUCCGGUGUAGCGGUGAAAUGCGUAGAGAUCGGAAGGAACGUCGAUGGCGAAGGCAGCCACCUGGCAUGAUACUGACGCUGAGGCGCGAAAGCGUGGGGAGCGAACAGG
This 253-nucleotide ribosomal RNA is filed under the name uncultured bacterium. Its description in RNAcentral is "partial 16S ribosomal RNA". It matches the Rfam family "Bacterial small subunit ribosomal RNA", at positions 524 to 776 of the family's 1533-position model. The record is from RNAcentral.